This 253-nucleotide ribosomal RNA is filed under the name uncultured bacterium. RNAcentral's name for it is "partial 16S ribosomal RNA". It matches the Rfam family "Bacterial small subunit ribosomal RNA", at positions 524 to 776 of the family's 1533-position model. The record is from RNAcentral.
UACGUAGGGCGCAAGCGUUAUCCGGAAUUAUUGGGCGUAAAGAGCUCGUAGGCGGUUUGUCGCGUCUGCUGUGAAAUCCCGAGGCUCAACCUCGGGCCUGCAGUGGGUACGGGCAAACUAGAGUGCGGUAGGGGAGAUUGGAACUCCUGGUGUAGCGGUGGAAUGCGCAGAUAUCAGGAGGAACACCGAUGGCGAAGGCAGAUCUCUGGGCCGUAACUGACGCUGAGGAGCGAAAGCGUGGGGAGCGAACAGG